CGUCCUUUCUGACCCCAAAACAAAGGCGCUGAUUGGCUGAUCCCCGUCACCCCAAACAUGAAAUAGCAGGUCCUUCUUUACAAAGUGAGCAGACUUCACUGCCGCGUCUGUCACCGCACACUCGGUCGUUUGUGGCGCUCAUUUCACUCCGGAGAGUUAUACACCUGGAGAUUUGUUGGAGUCUCGGAUGGGAUUUUGGGGACCAUGCGAGGCUGAUUACCGACGCUGUUCCCUCGGUGCACUCGAUGGAAUCAAGUCCACCACCAUCAAGGCUUUCACCUGAAUCGGGCGCAGGCAGGACUGGAGGGCCAAGUGCUAGCACUUGCAGAAAUUCCAUGCACCGAAAAAGAGCUCCUAGCAGACCUCUCCUUCCUCCUCCAGAAAUUGAAGAACACGUCUUUUAGCUAAUUCUUAACAGCGUGCAGCCAGUAAUGAAGGGAUAGAUGCACCUGACAGAGGGCUUCUCUCUACAGGAUCCUGGGCCAUUAGUGCUUCGUUGUGGGUCACAGUGCAACAUCAGAUGUCUGCAAAGCUCAUCAGUUUUCCUUGGACUUGGGUGGACCCUAAAUCAUGGCUGCAG
Perca flavescens (yellow perch) is the source of this 580-nucleotide long non-coding RNA. RefSeq lists it as uncharacterized. The record is from RefSeq and is a predicted model, not a curated record. The transcript has 3 exons. Lineage: Eukaryota; Metazoa; Chordata; Actinopteri; Perciformes; Percidae.